CAAGGAUGGUGGCUGGGGUUCAGUCUGCCGCUGCAAAUACCAAAAGCUGUCCUCAUUGAGUCAUCCCUCCCAGAGCAGGAAGAGCAGAGGUUCUGGGAAACAACCCCAAGGAGAGAGACAGGGCAUUUAUAAAACAGCAUGUAAGCAUCUCUGCAGUUGCUGUCCCCAGAGCCCACUUCCUGGAUAUUGCCAGCUGCCUGGACCAACCUUUCCGAAAGAUCAGCCAGGUCACAGUGAGGGUCAAAGGUGAGGCAACACCCGGCCUGCUUCAGCUUGCCCCCCGUGGGCUGCACCCACUGUCCAACCAGUCCCAAUGAGAUGAACCAGGUACCUCAGUUGGAAAUGUGGAAAUUACCCAUCUUCUCUGUCAAUCAUGCUGGGAGCGGCAGACUGGAGCUGUUCCUACUCAGCCUUCUUGGAACAGAGCCCCCCUCACAAAGGACUUUCUCUGGCUAACUCUGAUGCUUUUCUGAGUUCUUACCUAAAUUUCCCCUUCUCCUUCUGUGGCCCUGCCAGUUUUGUUUUGUUUUGUUUUGUUUUGUCCUUAUCACUACCCUUGCUGCCUCCUCAAAUUAUCCAGAGCCACUGUUGUUUUCUAGAACAUUGGCAAGCACGUUGAUAGAGUGCCCACAUUGUACUGAACUCUGAGGGGAAUAGUCUCGUCCCCAUCACUCAGGUGGGGAAACUGAGCAGGAGGCCACUGGAGGCUCCAAGGGCUCUGAAAUGUUGAGAACUUCCCUGCAGGUACCAGCGAAGAGGGCAAGAACACAGCACUACUUCCUUGGAUACUGUUUCCCUCCUCAGAGGGGUUUUCUGAGCUGCCCUGGGUCCUGUGAGGAAGAUCUCCCCUUCCUGUAAAGACACCAGUCCUACUGGAUCAGGGCCCACCCGUGUGACUUCACUUUUACUUGAGUACCUCUCACAGACCCUAACUCCAAAUCAGGUCACUUGCUGAGGUACUGCAUGUGAAGACUUUGACAUUUGAAUUUUGAGGGGGCCACCGUUUAACCUGAACCACCAAGGACAGAGCCAAAGACCCUGGGUGACAGGCCCAGAACAGGACCUGGUGGAGGCUCUUCUUUAGGGGAGAGAGGGAAAUGGGAGCCACCACUGGCAGAGCCUGAAGGCAGGGCAGCCAGAAAGAAGCUGUGGGAGUCCCCACCAUGGAAGACCCUGCCGAGCAUCCUGUGUCUCCUGAAGCAGACCCUGACAUGAGGACUGGGGGCACGUGUUUAUUAAGGGCGAUCCCCGGAAGGAGGAGAUAACCAGGCAGAAGUCCUAGCAGAGUAUGCCCACGCUGGUUAGUGCUGCUGCAAAGAUGAGCCGAAGACCAUGAGAGACCUCCAGGUGGUCCUUCUGGGGAGAAGAAAUGGGUUUUGGCCCCAAAUCCUUCUGCUGCAUUUUUCCCCUAUCCCUGGGAAGCCAUGAGACCUCAAACCUGUGUUCCCAAGGAGGCGAGCUGCUGUUCCCAGGUGAUGAUAUGAUGUGCUUGGGGAAAGUAAGUGGCUGCCAGACAUGGCUGAGAGCUGUUGUCACUGCCGUCAAGUGCAUGUCUCCAAGCCAUAUCACACGGCGUCCCUCGAUGUGAGGCCACAUGGCAAGUGGGCCGUGGAUCUCCCUCUGCCCUUUGCAAGCACGUAAGACAGCAGAUUUUGCAGAUACCUUGUGGCGCAGGGGAAUUUCCUUUGGCCAGGUCUGAAGAAAUAAAGCAGCAGGCACCGAGAACAAAGCCAAGGCUUUCAAAAGACAAGGAGCCAAAAAACUUACUCAAAAUAAAAGUAGUUUUAAAAUGUC
This 1794-nucleotide long non-coding RNA is filed under the name Homo sapiens (human). RNAcentral describes it as "HSALNT0400158". Lineage: Eukaryota; Metazoa; Chordata; Mammalia; Primates; Hominidae. The record is from RNAcentral.